CGCCGGGAACCGCGCGGCUAUAGGUCGGUGAACUCCGCCAGGGCCGGAAGGCAGCAACGGUAGCUCGAUACUAGGUGCGACGCGAUAUUCCCGGCAUUA
This 99-nucleotide signal recognition particle RNA is filed under the name Chthonomonas sp. Its description in RNAcentral is "signal recognition particle sRNA small type". It matches the Rfam family "Bacterial small signal recognition particle RNA". From Rfam's summary of the family: The signal recognition particle (SRP) is a universally conserved ribonucleoprotein involved in the co-translational targeting of proteins to membranes. Archaeal SRP consists of a 7S RNA and homologues of the eukaryotic SRP19 and SRP54 proteins. The record is from RNAcentral. RNAcentral also lists the same sequence under 1 other name. Lineage: Bacteria; Bacillati; Armatimonadota; Chthonomonadia; Chthonomonadales; Chthonomonadaceae.